UGACUGCACAUGGCAAGGGCUAAACAGA
RNAcentral lists this non-coding RNA (28 nucleotides) under Mus musculus (house mouse). Lineage: Eukaryota; Metazoa; Chordata; Mammalia; Rodentia; Muridae. The record is from RNAcentral.